RNAcentral lists this small nuclear RNA (107 nucleotides) under Moschus moschiferus (Siberian musk deer). The record is from RNAcentral. Lineage: Eukaryota; Metazoa; Chordata; Mammalia; Artiodactyla; Moschidae.
GUGCUCGCUUUAGCAGCACAUAUACUAAAAUUGGAAUGUUAUAGAGAGGACUAGCAUGGCUCCUGAGCAAGGAUGACAUGAAAAUUCAUGAAGCAUUCCAUAUUUGG